RNAcentral lists this ribosomal RNA (2804 nucleotides) under Triticum aestivum (bread wheat). RNAcentral describes it as "partial small subunit ribosomal RNA". Lineage: Eukaryota; Viridiplantae; Streptophyta; Magnoliopsida; Poales; Poaceae. The record is from RNAcentral.
AAAAAAAGUGAUGGUGUCAGUCGCUUCUAUUGUCGCUUGAACAACCUUAACUUUUAGGUACAGUUAGAUAUUAGUUUAACGACUGCGUACCACUACUCCUUCUUGAUUUUUACCAGAGGUAAACACCUUGACCUCCAAACCCAUUUUGCUGUCAACGGGUACGUCAAAUAUCCUUCUAACGUUUACUUAAAUUUAUAUUAAAAAAACAACUGUACGGGGCAUUAGAACUGUAUUUUCACUAGUAACCUUGGUAUACACGACUUCAACCAACAGGAGCGGGGUUCAAACUUCUUACACCACAAGUCGUUGAUCAGCUGGCUGAGUUUUAUAAGAAACUUCCCUUUUCCAUGAACUAGCAAAAACUACCGAACACCUGGUGUAGUCAUACCCUAGUUUAAGACGGACGUGACUUUCUAUUAUCUGUACCUUCAUCUUAUUAUUAAUGUUGGGCCUUACAGUCAUAACGACUUGUACAACCACCGGAAAUAGCAGACGGUGAAGAAAGAACGCUGCUGAGCUUGUACAAUAAGAAGGCUUCUUGUAAUAAACCGUCAUUUCUACUAACAGGAAGAGUUAAAUCUCUUAACAGACUCUUUUACAACUCAUCUACACCUGUCAAUGGUAAUCGGUAGUGACAGUAUUGACUAAACGACGGAUUUCUAUCCCACAACCUCCUUACCGUUUUCCACACACUAAGAUAACUUUCCCCAUUGCCAUACCUCUUAUAGUCUUCUCAAGAUUUUGUGUCAAUACUACUAGAUGGAGGUCUAGAGGUCUCUACGAACAACACAGAUUCAUAAAAGGGUCUCCCGAUACUCUAACCUUCUCUAUCAAACCACGUCUCUACCUACCGACUUCUAAAUUAUGCACCCUUCGUACCUGUCUUGAAUGUCCUUGACCCACUCUCAAUAAAAAGACUUGAGCAUUUAAGAUUGUACUAGGUUGGUUAUCUUAAACUGCCAAGACCUUCCCUAGACCAAAUGGCACAUGGACAUUGUUGAGAACUAGAAUAACAGCUAAACAGAUAAGCGCUCUUGAAACAAUGAUAUAAUGGAUCGGAUGUUGCUUGUCUAGAGGGUUCACUCCAUGUUGCUAAUAGAGAGGCUCCGUCGUUAUUAUUCGUACUCAAUUUUCGUUAGUUCUUGUAACUGGUUCACUCAAGUGAGAGGGAGAAAUUACCACGACCAAACUACGUCGGUGAAAGUUUUAAAGUUCCCGACGUUCACAAUGUAAAUGUCUUUACACUAAGACACUUCUUACUUCCACUAAGACACUUCUUACUUGCUCUAAGACACUUCUUACUUCCACAAAGACACUUCUUACUUCCUCUAAGACACUUCUUACUUCUAGAAUUGCCAGAACUCUCAAACCUGUUCGACUCCAUAGAACAAGAUCCGUCGUCAGUAUAAUGGCUCUAGGGGUUUUACUAGCCCUUUGAUGCGGUAGACGUCUAUGACCUAAACUGCCGUUGAGCACAUUUUCUCGACGGUAGUUCGUAACCAUUCGAAUGUUUUAACGCCGCAGACGAAUAAUUGUCUAGGUGUCUUCAUGGUCUAUUCUAGUAACCCUUUGAUCUUCGAGAUCUUCUUGACCACCCGUAACUAUAGAGGUUCAGAGGUUUAUAAGACGUUCUCUAACCAUGGUACGGUCUUGACUCCCACGAGUCGUAACGGAACACCAGCACCCUACUCGUAGUAUGGUGUGAAGAGAGGGUCUAAUAGACGUUUGACCGAUACUUCUUUGAGUCUGUAGAGAGAUAGACGAGAACGACAAAUGAUCUAAACUUCGGUCUAAACUUCGGUCUAGACGUCGGCCAAGAGGUUGACCUUUUCGAACUCUAUGUCCCGUCGUAUAAGCUCUUUAAUGGUUGCACCUAAUUGCCUGAGUGGGUAGAGGCGAGGAACAGGUAGCUCUAGAUGAGGAACCUUUUAUUACGGGAACUUCAUGAACCCCUUAAUCUCGAAGAAAAGGAUAGGGAACAACGUUUCUCCUGGAGUCCUCUUUUCAACCACUAAUACUGUUUAUUUAAGACAUGGGACCUUUGAAAGGAAGACAAGUCGGCACGGUGUCGUUAGCUCAAACUUGUUCCUCGAUACCUCUUUGAAGUUUCCGAAUUCAAUUGCGACGUCCGCAGUGACUGUUUCUGCCUAGUAGAACCGGACCUAUGAGAGAGAAGUGAACUCGUGCAGGUUCAACUUUAAUAGACGUAGUCACGGUGCCUACCCCUACACUUCCAACGACUCCGACGUUAGGCCUCGUACUAACCUUUAUUGGGGGCAUUUGGAUCUGAACUUUACUUUUCUUAGCACCUCCCUAUAUACCUUCUUCUAUUUUUCUUUCUCAGUCUUACACUUUAGCUCCAUCUUCUACUUCUAGUUCUUCGUGAGGCAUACUGUUUCGGCCUUCUUGUCUGGCAAUGUCGUUUCUUCUUCUUCUCGUCCUCCCGUUCCUUCUUCUUGUUCUCCGUAAUGAUCUUUGUUACUUCUAGCCACGGAAGUGGAUGGACCCACCUGAAAGUAAAACAAAAACAAUCACAAGACAUAAACGAAGGCAAACGUGCACUUAAGUACUUGAUAGUGGUCGUCCCACGGAGCACGUAUUGUAGUCUUGAAAUAUUAGACAUUAUCCUGAUCAGCAGAGGCAUGAAUUUUUGGCUACGUAGUACCGCGACGGUCAAAAAAACGGGGUAUCGGGUUUAGGCCCACCACCCAAAAAGACCACCAUGCCACGAAUGUUGAGAGCAAAUUAAAGAACAUGUAUCAAGUAAAUAACGGCAACACUUUAUAUUAGUUCUUACUCCCUUU